RNAcentral lists this ribosomal RNA (467 nucleotides) under uncultured bacterium. RNAcentral's name for it is "partial 16S ribosomal RNA". It matches the Rfam family "Bacterial small subunit ribosomal RNA", at positions 28 to 506 of the family's 1533-position model. The record is from RNAcentral.
GACGAACGCUGGCGGCGUGCUUAACACAUGCAAGUCGAACGGAAAGGCCCUGCUUUUGUGGGGUGCUCGAGUGGCGAACGGGUGAGUAACACGUGAGUAACCUGCCCUUGACUUUGGGAUAACUUCAGGAAACUGGGGCGAAUACCGGAUAGGAGCUCCUGCUGCAUGGUGGGGGUUGGAAAGUUUCGGCGGUUGGGGAUGGACUCGCGGCUUAUCAGCUUGUUGGUGGGGUAGUGGCUUACCAAGGCUUUGACGGGUAGCCGGCCUGAGAGGGUGACCGGCCACAUUGGGCCUGAGAUACGGCCCAGACUCCUACGUGUGGCAGCAGUGGGGAAUAUUGCACAAUGGGCGGAAGCCUGAUGCAGCAACGCCGCGUGCGGGAUGACGGCCUUCGGGUGGUAAACCGCUUUCGCCUGUGACGAAGCGUGAGUGACGGUAAUGGGUAAAGAAGCACCGGCUACCUACGU